ACGUACGCUGGCGGCACGCCUAACACAUGCAAGUCGAACGAAGUAGCAAUACUUAGUGGCAGACGGGUGAGUAACAUGUAGGUAUCUGCCCUUUGGCCUGGAAUAACACGAGGAAACUUGUGCUAAUACCGGAUAAGUCUUUACGGAGAAAGCUUUAUGCACCAUUGGAUGAGCCUGCACUUGAUUAGUUUGUUGGUGGGGUAAUGGCCUACCAAGACUGUGAUCAAUAGCUGAUUUGAGAGGAUGAUCAGCCACAUUGGGACUGAGACACGGCCCAAACUCCUACGGGAGGCAGCAGUGGGGAAUCUUGCACAAUGGAGGAAACUCUGAUGCAGCGAUGCCGCGUGAGUGAAGAAGGCCCUUGGGUUGUAAAGCUCUUUCGUCGGGGAAGAAAAUGACUGUACCCGAAUAAGAAGGUCCGGCUAACUUCGUGCCAGCAGCCGCGGUAAUACGAAGGGACCUAGCGUAGUUCGGAAUUACUGGGCUUAAAGAGUUCGUAGGUGGUUGAAAAAGUUGGUGGUGAAAUCCCAGAGCUUAACUCUGGAACUGCCAUCAAAACUUUUCAGCUAGAGUAUGAUAGAGGAAAGCAGAAUUUCUAGUGUAGAGGUGAAAUUCGUAGAUAUUAGAAAGAAUACCAAUUGCGAAGGCAGCUUUCUGGAUCAUUACUGACACUGAGGAACGAAAGCAUGGGUAGCGAAGAGGAUUAGAUACCCUCGUAGUCCAUGCCGUAAACGAUGUGUGUUAGACGUUGGAAAUUUAUUUUCAGUGUCGCAGGGAAACCGAUAAACACACCGCCUGGGGAGUACGACCGCAAGGUUAAAACUCAAAUGAAUUGACGGGGACCCGCACAAGUAGUGGAGCAUGUGGUUUAAUUCGAAGAUACGCGCAGAACCUUACCAACACUUGACAUGUUCGUCGCGACUCUAAGAGAUUAGAGUUUUCGGUUCGGCCGGACGAAACACAGGUGCUGCAUGGCUGUCGUCAGCUCGUGUCGUGAGAUGUUGGGUUAAGUCCCGCAACGAGCGCAACCCUCACUUUUAGUUGCCAUCAUUAAGUUGGGCACUCUGAAAGAACUGCCAGUGAUAAGCUGGAGGAAGGUGGGGAUGACGUCAAGCCCUCAUGGCCCUUACGUGUUGGGCUACACACGUGCUACAAUGGUAUCUACAACAGGAAGCAAGACUGCGAAGUUAAGCAAAUCCCUAAAAGAUACCUCAGUUCGGAUUGCACUCUGCAACUCGAGUGCAUGAAGCUGGAAUUACUAGUAAUCGUGGAUCAGCGUGCCACGGUGAAUGCGUUCCCGGGUCUUGUACUCACCGC
RNAcentral lists this ribosomal RNA (1317 nucleotides) under uncultured Alphaproteobacteria bacterium. RNAcentral's name for it is "bacterial SSU rRNA". It matches the Rfam family "Bacterial small subunit ribosomal RNA", at positions 29 to 1393 of the family's 1533-position model. The record is from RNAcentral. Lineage: Bacteria; Pseudomonadati; Pseudomonadota; Alphaproteobacteria.